Molecule: ribosomal RNA, 492 nt
Filed under: uncultured bacterium
Lineage: Bacteria
Description: partial 16S ribosomal RNA
Rfam family: Bacterial small subunit ribosomal RNA
Source: RNAcentral
AGUGAACGCUGGCGGUAGGCCUAACACAUGCAAGUCGAACGGCAGCACAGUAAGAGCUUGCUCUUACGGGUGGCGAGUGGCGGACGGGUGAGGAAUACAUCGGAAUCUACUUUUUCGUGGGGGAUAACGUAGGGACACUUACGCUAAUACCGCAUACGACCUACGGGUGAAAGCAGGGGAUCUUCGGACCUUGCGCGAUUGAAUGAGCCGAUGUCGGAUUAGCUAGUUGGCGGGGUAAAGGCCCACCAAGGCGACGAUCCGUAGCUGGGCUGAGAGGAUGAUCAGCCACACUGGAACUGAGACACGGUCCAGACUCCUACGGGAGGCAGCAGUGGGGAAUAUUGGACAAUGGGCGCAAGCCUGAUCCAGCCAUACCGCGUGAGUGAAGAAGGCCUUCGGGUUGUAAAGCCCUUUUGUUGGGAAAGAAAAGCAGCAUGUGAAUACCCCGCUGUUCUGACGGUACCCAAAGAAUAAGCACCGGCUAACUUCGUG